AUGAUUGCAAUUCAUAUGCCAACCUGGCUCGAGAAGAUGAUCGACAAGGUCAGGAGAGGGUUUCUUUGGGAAAGCAAGGAAGAGGCCACUAGUGGCAAAUGCUUGGUAAACUGGAAAAGGGUCUGUCGCCCAACUGAAUUUGGUGGCCUAGGGAUCAUAAAUCUUGCGGCGCAGAGUAUUGCGCUCCGUGCCAGAUGGCUUUGGCAAACGUGGACUGAUGGGAGUAAACCGUGGCUUGGUCUGGACAUGCCUAUCGACCCGAAGGUCAGGGCACUAUUCAAUGCAUCGGUCGUCUUCCACCUUGGCACUGGAGAGCGAAUUUCCUUCUGGAAGGAACCAUGGCACAACGGCGUCAGCCUCCAGAACACCUACCCGGCGUUGUUC
RNAcentral lists this ribosomal RNA (384 nucleotides) under Triticum aestivum (bread wheat). Its description in RNAcentral is "partial small subunit ribosomal RNA". Lineage: Eukaryota; Viridiplantae; Streptophyta; Magnoliopsida; Poales; Poaceae. The record is from RNAcentral.